This 394-nucleotide ribosomal RNA is filed under the name uncultured Enterobacter sp. RNAcentral's name for it is "bacterial SSU rRNA". It matches the Rfam family "Bacterial small subunit ribosomal RNA", at positions 1139 to 1532 of the family's 1533-position model. The record is from RNAcentral. Lineage: Bacteria; Pseudomonadati; Pseudomonadota; Gammaproteobacteria; Enterobacterales; Enterobacteriaceae.
UCAAAGGAGACUGCCAGUGAUAAACUGGAGGAAGGUGGGGAUGACGUCAAGUCAUCAUGGCCCUUACGAGUAGGGCUACACACGUGCUACAAUGGCGCAUACAAAGAGAAGCGACCUCGCGAGAGCAAGCGGACCUCAUAAAGUGCGUCGUAGUCCGGAUUGGAGUCUGCAACUCGACUCCAUGAAGUCGGAAUCGCUAGUAAUCGUGGAUCAGAAUGCCACGGUGAAUACGUUCCCGGGCCUUGUACACACCGCCCGUCACACCAUGGGAGUGGGUUGCAAAAGAAGUAGGUAGCUUAACCUUCGGGAGGGCGCUUACCACUUUGUGAUUCAUGACUGGGGUGAAGUCGUAACAAGGUAACCGUAGGGGAACCUGCGGCUGGAUCACCUCCUU